This 253-nucleotide ribosomal RNA is filed under the name uncultured prokaryote. RNAcentral's name for it is "partial 16S ribosomal RNA". It matches the Rfam family "Bacterial small subunit ribosomal RNA", at positions 525 to 777 of the family's 1533-position model. The record is from RNAcentral.
ACGUAGGGCGCAAGCGUUGUCCGGAAUUAUUGGGCGUAAAGAGCUCGUAGGCGGUUUGUCGCGUCUGCUGUGAAAACCUAAGGCUCAACCUUGGGCUUGCAGUGGGUACGGGCAGACUAGAGUGCGGUAGGGGUGACUGGAAUUCCUGGUGUAGCGGUGGAAUGCGCAGAUAUCAGGAGGAACACCGAUGGCGAAGGCAGGUCACUGGGCCGCAACUGACGCUGAGGAGCGAAAGCAUGGGGAGCGAACAGGA